GACGAACGCUGGCGGCGUGCCUAACACAUGCAAGUGGAGCGACGAACCGGGCUUCGGCCCGGGGCAAAGCCGCGAACGGGUGAGUAACACGUGGGUAACCUGCCCUGAUGAUUGGGACAACCCGAGGAAACUCGGGCUAAUACCGAAUGUGCCCUACGGCCUCAAGGCCACUGGGGAAAGGAAGCUUCGGCCUCCGCAUCGGGAUGGGCCCGCGGCCCAUUAGCUUGUUGGUGAGGUAAUGGCUCACCAAGGCGACGAUGGGUAGCUGGUCUGAGAGGACGAUCAGCCACACUGGGACUGAGACACGGCCCAGACUCCUACGGGAGGCAGCAGUGGGGAAUCUUGCGCAAUGCGCGAAAGCGUGACGCAGCAACGCCGCGUGGGGGAAGACGGCCUCGGUGUAACCUUACUA
Molecule: ribosomal RNA, 412 nt
Filed under: uncultured bacterium
Lineage: Bacteria
Description: bacterial SSU rRNA
Rfam family: Bacterial small subunit ribosomal RNA
Source: RNAcentral